This 253-nucleotide ribosomal RNA is filed under the name uncultured bacterium. RNAcentral's name for it is "partial 16S ribosomal RNA". It matches the Rfam family "Bacterial small subunit ribosomal RNA", at positions 524 to 776 of the family's 1533-position model. The record is from RNAcentral.
UACGUAGGGAGCAAGCGUUGUCCGGAAUCAUUGGGCGUAAAGCGCGCGUAGGUGGCCCCAUAAGUCCGCUGUGAAAGUCAAAGGCUCAACCUUUGAAAGCCGGUGGAUACUGCGGGACUAGAGUACGGAAGAGGCGAGUGGAAUUCCUGGUGUAGCGGUGGAAUGCGCAGAUAUCAGGAGGAACACCAAUAGCGAAGGCAGCUCGCUGGGACGUUACUGACACUGAGGCGCGAAAGCGUGGGGAGCGAACAGG